RNAcentral lists this non-coding RNA (321 nucleotides) under Neobacillus niacini. RNAcentral's name for it is "Group I catalytic intron". It matches the Rfam family "Group I catalytic intron". From Rfam's summary of the family: Group I catalytic introns are large self-splicing ribozymes. They catalyse their own excision from mRNA, tRNA and rRNA precursors in a wide range of organisms. Lineage: Bacteria; Bacillati; Bacillota; Bacilli; Caryophanales; Bacillaceae. The record is from RNAcentral.
AUGCUGGCGGAUUAAAAAGUGACAAUAGAUGCACUAGUCCGCGUCAUUCAGAAAAUGAAUGACAAGAAAAUCGGGUGAAUUGCAGGAAAAUCCUUAGAGACUUGCAAGCUACAACGUGACUGGAAACGGUGAGCGUGAAUGCUUUAAAAAUUGUAAGUAUUGGACAAUCUGCAGCCAAGCGUCAUAGGGCAAAAGGUAAUGGCGAAGGUUCAACGACUAGAGAGUGAGUCCCAACAAUAAACUCUCAUAAGCGCCCGGCCCCUAACAGUUUAAAGCUGAGGGUGAUGAUAUAGUCUAGUCCGUCUGCCCAAUAUGGGGCAG